CCUACGGGAGGCAGCAGUGGGGAAUAUUGGACAAUGGGGGGAACCCUGAUCCAGCGACGCCGCGUGAGUGAAGAAGUAUUUCGGUAUGUAAAGCUCUAUCAGCAGGGAAGAAAGAAAUUACGGUACCUGACUAAGAAGCCCCGGCUAACUACGUGCCAGCAGCCGCGGUAAUACGUAGGGGGCAAGCGUUAUCCGGAUUUACUGGGUGUAAAGGGAGCGUAGACGGCGAUGCAAGUCUGAAGUGAAAGGCGGGGGCCCAACCCCCGGACUGCUUUGGAAACUGUAUGGCUGGAGUGCAGGAGAGGUAAGUGGAAUUCCUAGUGUAGCGGUGAAAUGCGUAGAUAUUAGGAGGAACACCAGUGGCGAAGGCGGCUUACUGAACUGUAACUGACGUUGAGGCUCGAAAGCGUGGGGAGCAAACAGGAUUAGAUACCCCAGUAGUC
RNAcentral lists this ribosomal RNA (443 nucleotides) under uncultured bacterium. RNAcentral describes it as "partial 16S ribosomal RNA". It matches the Rfam family "Bacterial small subunit ribosomal RNA", at positions 338 to 795 of the family's 1533-position model. The record is from RNAcentral.